CUUACUGGGAGUCCACCAUGCACCAGGCCUGCAAUGAAGGGGAGAGGUGUGGUCCCUGCCUCCAGGGGAGACAGUCACAAAACCCCUGAUAUAGGACAAAUGCUUACCCCAAGGUGAAUGUAUUAGCAGAGGGGGCUUUGGGGAGGUGACUCGGUGAUGAAGGCAGAGCCCUCAUGGAUGGAUGAACAUCCUUCCAGGAAGAAACACGAGGGGGCUUGCUUCCUCCCCUGCUCUCCGCCAUGCAAGGACGCAGGAAGAAGGUGUUGUCCAUGAACCAGAAAUCAGGCCUUCCACACACACGGGAUCUACCAGCACCUUAAUCUUGGACUUGCGGCCUCUGGAACUGUGAGGACUAAAUGCCUGUUGUUUAAGCCUCCCAGUCUCUGGUAUUUUGGUUAUAGCAGCCUGAACUGACAGGAGUGAAAAUCAGAUGUGGCGGGCUGGAGAUAAAAGGGGAAAGUAGGAAGUACAGGUGGCAAGAGUAGCCCAUUCCUUCAAAAAGCUCUCCUGUGAGCAGGAGGCAAAGGGGGCACCCAGGACGGACAGAAGGUCACUGACAAGGAGGAAGCAUGACUGUGUGCGAAGGAGGAGCAGCCAGCGAGGGGAGGAACAGUCUGUGCAGAAGUGCAGGGACGCCAAGAGGUCUGCUACUGAGAAGAAUCAACUCUCUUUUGAAAGGGAUAGCAUUUUGCCUAAUUGAGGUUCAAAGUUAAGGUUCUUUAUCAUCAUAUUGAUUCCAAAUGCUCAUCUAUAAAAACUGCUCUUCGCUCGUGGGCUGCACAAAAGCAGGCAGUGGGCCCCUGGUUUAGAGCAGACACGGUCAAGGAUGUAGAAGGAGGUCCACUCCCUCAAGGGGAGAAGAGUUGAUGAAGCUGCAAUCCUGGAACAGGUGGAGUCCACCCAGGGGAGGUUCCCAGGAAGGCAUAGGCUAAAGGUCAACAAGAACAGUGCAAACCCCAGCGGGUGACCAAGGAGAGGGAUCAUUUGCAUUAAGGCACAAAGUCAACAGGAGUGGCUGCAGAGCUCACAGAGCAGGACACAGGACCCAGAAGCCCCCAAGGGCCACAGGGGCCACAGCUCCAGGGUAAGAAGAGGCCUGCUCAGAGGGCAUCUGGGGAAGACCUCUCCAGCUCCAGGGUAGAAAAGGAACAGAGGGGUCUCAGGCCUGGGUGCUGCCCAAGGCCAGGUGAGUAGUGAGAACCCAGACAGAGGGAAGUGUGAAGGGCUGCAGAAGAGGGCCAUGGGAGACAGGCCAGGGCCUCAGGACAGGAGACUGGGGUCCCCCAGGCUCCCACUUGGGUGCUGAAGUUGGGGGUGACACCAGCUCAGGGGGUCCCAUGAAACACCUAGUCAUGCAGGGCUGAAACUCAAAAGAGAGGACUGAGCCAGAGAGACCCAUCUGGAUUUUCAGCAAAGAGCUGACCAGUGAACCCUCAGGAAACGCUGGAGUGCAAAUGGCACCACCAAGAAUCAGUCCCAGGAAAGAGGCACAAAGGCCGGGAAGAGGACUGGGCAAUGAAGAGUCGCCCUUAGAGAACAGGAAAACCAAGAACGGGAGGUCAGAGAAAGAAAACUCUGCCAGAAGAGGGAGCAUCAGCAGGGAGGUCCAGGCCCUGCAAACAUGAGGGUGCCCAGAGCUGCCUUCAGGGUAGGUGGGGACAGGAGCCAGCCAUGGUGGCAGGAAGAUCAGAUGGGAUGUGAAGACACAAUCCAGGACAGGGAGGACAGACAAGUCUUCCCAGAAGCUUGCCUGGGAAGGAAAAGAAAGAUCUGGAGCCAGAGUUGAGGGACAGGUGUCAAUGCUGAGGAGAAGAAGCCAGGAAAGAAAGAAGAAUAAAGGUGAAGUCGGGCUGCUUGAGAUGUUUGGUGAAAUGAGGCAACGUGCCUGUGAUUUUGUUUUCCACCCCAGUUGCCGGGGCAUGCUCUGAGGCUUGCAAUUUCCGUGGGCACAGCCAGGUGAGUUUGGGUGGCGUCGUCUGAUCCCCACUCUUGACCCCUUGGCCCCUGCAGCUCUCCGAGCAGAGAAGUUGUUCUUCUGUCACUGCUUGCACAUUGGUGAGCAAAAAGAUGGAAAAGCCAGUGUGAUUUCCAACUAAUCUUGACUAAGUCAGAUAUAGGGGGUUUUUUCCCCACCUCUGGGAAGAUUGUCAAGUGAAACAAUGUGGCUUUGAGCUUCUGACAGAUGCUAAUGAAUUGUUGUUUACAUUUUUGAUUUACUGCCUAAACAAAGAUAAGACAUGCUCUUGAAAACACAUUGAAUGCACAAUCCAAACACAUCCAUUAAAUCUGUCACAAUAAACAUGACAGCUUUCUUCUAACCUAACAACUGGCAUGCCUCAUUUGCAUAUUAAUGAGAAAACCGGGAUCAGCCGCGCAAAUUACUUAUAUCUCAUGAAGGGGCUGCUCCUGAUGACAGCGAGACACUUGGGGGUGUAAAUACACCACGUUAAUACCUUUGCUGUUUUGGUGCCUUUUCCCUCUCUGUGCUUGGGCUCUGUGCGCCAGGUUGGAUAUUUCCGUUAAGCUGUGUGGGGGCAGGGGCCCCUGACGGGAGUCAUCAUGGGCCCAGAAAGAGCUGGAUUGGCCUCAAAUCCUGCCAACACUCCAAGAACACUUAGUGAGCACCUACUACGGCCUGGUCAACAGUUUCCAAUUGCAGUUGAACUUGAUCAUGAAUUGCAUUCAAAUGAACCAAGAGAAAAAUAUGAGAAUUUACUGGUACCAACCAGGUGUGACUUUUCACAUGCAUCAUCACAUUUAAACCUCACAGGAAGCCUUAGAACAGGGUGCACAAAAGUAAAAGUGCAAGGACCCCGACUCCCAUUCCUCACCCACGGCAGACAUAGCUAGUCAAUGCCAGAACUCCUUCCAGCUGAGCCUGGAAUCAAACUCGCAAUGCUCAAGGCAAGACUUCAAGAGGCUGCCACCAUCCAAAGGAUCCACACAGGUGAUGAAGCCCCAUUGGUGUCCUGCCUUAGGACAGGUAUGAUUGUUGACAUUACAGAAAUGAGAAAAAGACCCAUUUGGAAAAGUUAGGGGACCUACCAGGUCACCAGGCAAGGAAGAGGCAAAGUCGAGAUUCCACCCUGGGUCUUCCAGCCACCAGCCCAGUUCCCUCCUCACUUCUGCCGCUUCCUAGAGCACCUCACGGCUCCACUCUUUACACAGCUUCACCUGGGCCUAUGUGUCUAGGUAGGAAUUAAGUUGAUUAUGAUUGAAGGUAUCAGCAACAAGAUAACUCAAAUUGAAGGGGCCAGAGAACAUAAUGCUUCCAGGAAGAAGUGGUCCAGGCCCCAACACCACAGUGAUGUCUUCAGAGUCACGAACGCUGAAAGUCUGCAGGAUAUCCCAUCCUCAGACACGCUUGGGUCUGCACCCCACUCUGGCUGCCUGGGGCAAUUCCCUUCAUUUCCCUGAGUCUCAUUUAUAAAAAGGAAAUGAUAGCUCUCACUUUCUACCACCAUCAUGAGCAUAAAAGGGAUUUUGCUCUAAAGAACUUAGCACAAAGCCUGCUCAAUAAAUGGUGGUUUAAAAAUGCCAAACCCUCACCACCAGAGGUUUUGCUAAAUCUUUUACUCCAGCUGGCUCCACCCAGCUGCUUCUUCCUUGCUAUACGCCAGACUCAAGAGUGCGGCAGUUACUCUCAGAAAGUGCCAUGCCAUCUGAGGGAGACUCACACCUAAAGAGAAGCUCUCCUUUCCCCUUCUUCCCUCUGCUCCUCCAGCAUCUUCUUCAGGAAGGGCCUGUCCCUGAGCUGGAACUGCCAAGUCAGGGUGGUGCAGGCCCUGCCCACAAUCCAAAAUCCCCAGGUCAGGCAACUCAGCCCUGGCUUAUUCUUUUAGAGCUCCCAUCCUCAUUCCACAUUGCAGCACCCACAUCCCAGGCUUUGGCCCCUGGCCAUUGAAAGGCCCGCUGGGUGUCCAAGGUGGUGUUCACAGAGGCCAGGUGCUCAGAAUCUGCUGACAAGAAGACCUCAAGUGUACAAGGUGGAGAGAGCCAAAGGCACUCUAUAAAAAGGAAUUCUCAGGGAUGCUGCCACUGGGCAUUUUUAUUACAGAUUAAUCUAUCCACAUUACUUCACAAGAGAAAAAAGGUCCUAUUCCUAUUGAAUUAGAUGCACAUGGAAAUAUUUCCAAUGCUGCAACUCUUUCCCCUACUGAUUUCCUUUUCCUUUUCUUUUUUCUUUUUUUUUUAUUUUUUUAUUUUUUUUCAUUUUCUUUUUAGAGACAGGGUCUUGCUUUGUUGCCCAGGCUGGAGUGCAGUGGCACAGUCAUGGCUCACUGCAACCUCAAACCCACCUAAGCCUCCCAAAGUGUUAGGAUUACAGGCGUGAGCCACCACACCUGGCCUGAUUUUCUUUAACUACCACGUCUUGAUAUCUUUAAAAAAAAAAAACAAAAAAAAAAACAAAACGGAGUCUCGCUGUGUCUCCCAGGCUGGAGUGCAGUGGCAUGAUCUCGGCUCUCUGCAACCUCUGCCUCCUGGGUUCCAAUGAUUCUCCUGCCUCAGCCUCCUGAGUAGUUGGGAUUACAGGUGUGCACCACCACACCCAGCUAAUUUUUGUAUUUUUAGGAGAGACAGGGUUUUGCCAUGUUGGCCAGGCUGGGCUCGAUCUCCUGACUUCAAGUGAUCCACCCGCCUAGGUCUCCCCAAAGUGCCGGGAUUACAGGCAUGAGCCACUGGGCCUGGCCCAAGAUCUUUGUGUUAGGCUCAUGCUAGAUGUUACAUGUUGUGGGAAGCUCCUAAGAUGACCCCCAGUGAAAGCCCCUCUCCUGGUUUUCACCCCCUUGAUACCUGUCCCUUGAGUGUGGGCUGGACUUGACAGCUCACUUCUAACAAACAGGAUAUGACAGGGGUGAUGAAUGUCACUUCCGAGAUUAGGUUAUAAAAAGACUAUGGCCUCUGUCUUGGGCUCUCUCUCUCUCUACUCACUCUAGGGGAAGCCAGCUGUCAUGUCAUGAGGCACCCGGAGCCUCUGCAUAGCAGGGAGCUGGAGGCAGACUCAGCCCAAAGCCAGUAGGAGUUGGAGGGCCUCAUUCUACCAGCUUACAGGGGACUGAAGGCUAGCUACAAUUAUGUGUGUGAGCUCACAUUGCAGUCAGGCUGGGGAUUCCGUCUUGGCCAAGUCUUCAGACGAAACUGUAACCCAGGCCACAGCUUGACUGCAGUGUUGUUGGUGACCUUGAGGCAGAGGCACCAGCUCAGCUGCACCUGGAUUCCUGACUCAGAAACUAUGAGAUAAUAAAUGUUUAUUGUUUUCAGCUGCU
This 5267-nucleotide long non-coding RNA is filed under the name Homo sapiens (human). RNAcentral's name for it is "HSALNT0169579". Lineage: Eukaryota; Metazoa; Chordata; Mammalia; Primates; Hominidae. The record is from RNAcentral.